CUUUCUCUCAGACAGCCAGGAGGUUGGCUCAGAAGCAGCCACCCUUUAAAGAUAGCGUAACAGCUCACUGGUCGAUGAGAGGGGGCGACUAAGAUUUAUCGAGGAUAAGUUACGUGCCGAAGCUAGAGAUUUUACAUCCAAUUUAUUGGGUGUGGAGUGGUAGGGGAGCGUUCCAACCGCAGUGAAGGUGAACCGGAAGGUUUGCUGGAGCGGUUGGGAGUGAGAAUGUCGGCUUGAGUAGCGCACAAGAAAGGUGAGAAUCCUUUCCGUUGAAUGUCCAAGGUUUCCACUGCAAGAUUCGUUCUCAGUGGGUUAAUCGGUACCUAAGGCGAGGCCAAAUGGCGUAGUCGAUGGAUAAUUGGUCAAAAUUCCAAUAUUUAUACUAAAUCGUUAUUAACUAGGGAUUGACUGAACAGGAGUUUGGGAGCUCUUUAUUGAAUUAGAGUGCAGAAGCUGAAGCAGUUCUGGCUGGAAAAUCCGUCAGAAUGUUUAACUAAAGUGGUGCAAAGUUCUCCGCGAGGAGGGCGAUUCCAAAAUUUUCAGUUUACGAGAAAAGAUUCGUAGUGAGAGUUAGUAUAAGCCGUACCGCAAACCGACACAGGUGGACUGGGGGAGUACCCUAAAACGAUCGAGAGACAAAUCCUCAAGGAACUCGGCAAAAAAACUACCCGUAACUUAGGAAGAUGGGUUGCCUUGGUUAAAAACAAGGCUGCAACUAAAGUUUAUUGGUCGACUGUUUAUCAAAAACACAGGCCCGUGCAAAGGCGAAAGCUGAAGUAUACGGGCUGACGCUUGUCCAGUGCCGGUAAGUUAAGAGGAGAGGUGCUAGCCGCAAGGUUAAUGCUUCGAAUUUAAGCUCCGGUGAACGGCAGCAGUAACUAUAACUGUUCUAAGGUAGCGAAGUUCCUUGCCAGGUAAGUUCUGGCCCGCAUGAAUAGCGUAACGAGCUAAUAACUGUCUUGAGGGUUUACUCGGCGAAAUAGCGAUGGCUGUGAAGACGCGGCCUACUUCUACAUGGACAAAAAGACCCCGUGGAGCUUUACUGUAGGUAGAUAUUGCUUUCAUAUUUUUUGAUUGUCUAGUAUAGGUGGGAGCCGCAAGGCAAAAAUGUAAUACCACUCGUCGGAGAAUGUGAGGCUUACUUAAUUCCGAUUAAGACUCGGAAAAGGAAAGUGUUUGCUGGGCAGUUUUACUGGGGCGGUACCCUGCUAAAUUGUAACGCAGGGACACAAAGGUUGGCUUUCUACCGAUGGAAACGGUAGUUUGAAGCGCAAAGGUUUAAGCCAGCUUGACUGUGAGGGAGAUGUCCCGAACAGGUACGAAAGUAGGUCUUAGUGAUCCUCCGAAGCACAAUGGGUGUGCUCGGAGCUUAAUGGAUAAAAGCUACCCCGGGGAUAACAGAGUAGUCGCGCCCGAGCGUCCAUAGCGACGGCGCGGUUCGCUACCUCGAUGUCGGCUCAUCACAUCCUGGCGCUGAAGAAGGUGCCAAGGGUCGGUCUGUUCGCCCGUUAAAGUGAUACGCGAGCUGGGUUCAGAACGUCGUGAGACAGUUCGGACUCUAUCCUGUAGAAGCGUCGGAAUCUUGAGGAGAGCUGGGGACAGUACGAGAGGACCUCCCUGGAGAAAUCCCUAGUGUGCCGGUUUUUGCGUCAGCAGAAACGCCGGGUAGCUACAUUUCUUUGUGAUAACCGCUGAAAGCAUCUAAGUGGGAAGCCAACUCCAAGAUUAGGAUUCCAUAUUAAAUCCCGGAAAGAAUAUCCGGUUAAUCGGCAGGCACUGGAAGUCCCGUAAGGGAUUAAGGUAACCUGUGCGAAUAGAUUGAUGCUUGCGGU
This 1832-nucleotide ribosomal RNA is filed under the name bioreactor sludge metagenome. RNAcentral's name for it is "bacterial LSU rRNA". It matches the Rfam family "Bacterial large subunit ribosomal RNA", at positions 1078 to 2925 of the family's 2925-position model. The record is from RNAcentral.